Molecule: ribosomal RNA, 400 nt
Filed under: uncultured bacterium
Lineage: Bacteria
Description: bacterial SSU rRNA
Rfam family: Bacterial small subunit ribosomal RNA
Source: RNAcentral
UCGGGAAUUUUGGGCAAUGGGCGAAAGCCUGACCCAGCAACGCCGCGUGAAGGAUGAAGUAUUUCGGUAUGUAAACUUCGAAAGAAUAGGAAGAAUAAAUGACGGUACUAUUUAUAAGGUCCGGCUAACUACGUGCAAGCAGCCGCGGUAAUACGUAGGGACCAAGCGUUGUUCGGAUUUACUGGGCGUAAAGGGCGCGUAGGCGGCCUGGCAAGUCACUUGUGAAAUCUCCGAGCUUAACUCGGAACGGUCAAGUGAAACUGCCAUGCUAGAGUGCAGAAGGGGCAAUCGGAAUUCUUGGUGUAGCGGUGAAAUGCGUAGAUAUCAAGAGGAACACCUGAGGUGAAGACGGGUUGCUGGGCUGACACUGACGCUGAGGCGCGAAAGCUAGGGGAGCAAA